GAAACUCAUAACACCGCGACACACGCGGAAAUAAGAGAUGUAGAUUUGGAGGAAGAUUCCACUGCUCAAAUUUCCCUUAAUGUUGCUAAGCAUGGGGGUAUGUCUCCAAGGCAUAUUGAACCUGUGAAAUUUCCAGCAAAAGAAAAAAAGAAACAGUCAAAAGAGAACUCAAAUGCACAAUCCAAGGGAGUAAAAACAAGGAGCA
This 205-nucleotide long non-coding RNA is filed under the name Nicotiana benthamiana. RNAcentral describes it as "long non-coding RNA (NBEN_LNC021062)". Lineage: Eukaryota; Viridiplantae; Streptophyta; Magnoliopsida; Solanales; Solanaceae. The record is from RNAcentral.